AUUGAACGCUGGCGGCAUGCUUUACACAUGCAAGUCGAACGGUAACAGGCCGCCAGGUGCUGACGAGUGGCGUACGGGUGCGUAAUGCAUCGGAACGUUCCCAGUCCUGGGGGAUAACUACUCGAAAGAGUAGCUAAUACCGCAUACGAUCUAUGGAUGAGAGCGGGGGACCGUAAGGCCUCGCGCGAUUGGUGCGGCCGAUGUCGGAUUAGGUAGUUGGUGGGGUAAAGGCUCACCAAGCCAACGAUCUGUAGCUGGUCUGCGAGGAGGACCCGCCACACUGGGACUGAGACACGGCCCAGACUACUACGGGAGGCAGCAGUGGGGAAUAUUGGACAAUGGGCGGAAGCCUGAUCCAGCAAUGCCGCGUGGAGGAAGAAGGCCUUCGGGUUGUAAACUGCUUUUGUACGGAACGAAACGGCUCUGGUUAAUACGCGGGGCUAAUGACGGUACCGGAAGAAUAAGCACCGGCUAACUACGUG
This 482-nucleotide ribosomal RNA is filed under the name uncultured bacterium. RNAcentral's name for it is "partial 16S ribosomal RNA". It matches the Rfam family "Bacterial small subunit ribosomal RNA", at positions 30 to 507 of the family's 1533-position model. The record is from RNAcentral.